UACGGGGGGGGCAAGCGUUGUUCGGAAUUACUGGGCGGAAAGGGCUCGUAGGCGGCCAACUAAGUCGGAUGUGAAAUCCCCAAGCUUAACUUGGGAACUGCAUCCGAUACUGGAUGGCUUGAAUCCGGGAGAGGGAUGCAGAAUUCCAGGUGUAGCGGUGAAAUGCGUAGAUAUCUGGAGGAAUACCGGUGGCGAAGGCGGCAUCCUGGACCGGCAUUGACGCUGAGGAGCGAAAGCUAGGGGAGCAAACGGG
Molecule: ribosomal RNA, 253 nt
Filed under: uncultured bacterium
Lineage: Bacteria
Description: partial 16S ribosomal RNA
Rfam family: Bacterial small subunit ribosomal RNA
Source: RNAcentral